This 497-nucleotide ribosomal RNA is filed under the name uncultured bacterium. Its description in RNAcentral is "partial 16S ribosomal RNA". It matches the Rfam family "Bacterial small subunit ribosomal RNA", at positions 28 to 507 of the family's 1533-position model. The record is from RNAcentral.
GACGAACGCUGGCGGCGUGCCUAAUACAUGCAAGUAGAACGCUGAAGAGAGGAGCUUGCUCUUCUUGGAUGAGUUGCGAACGGGUGAGUAACGCGUAGGUAACCUGCCUUGUAGCGGGGGAUAACUAUUGGAAACGAUAGCUAAUACCGCAUAACAAUGGAUGCCACAUGUCAUUUAUUUGCAAGGGGCAAUUACUCCACUACAAGAUGGACCUGCGUUGUAUUAGCUAGUAGGUGAGGUAACGGCUCACCUAGGCGACGAUACAUAGCCGACCUGAGAGGGUGAUCGGCCACACUGGGACUGAGACACGGCCCAGACUCCUACGGGAGGCAGCAGUAGGGAAUCUUCGGCAAUGGGGGCAACCCUGACCGAGCAACGCCGCGUGAGUGAAGAAGGUUUUCGGAUCGGAAAGCUCUGUUGUAAGGCAAGAACGAGUGUGAGAGUGGAAAGUUCACACUGUGACGGUAGCUUACCAGAAAGGGACGGCUAACUACGUG